UACAGAGGGGGCAAGCGUUGUUCGGAAUUACUGGGCGUAAAGGGCGCGUAGGCGGCCUGCUAAGUCGAACGUGAAAUCCCCGAGCUCAACUCGGGAACUGCGUCCGAUACUGGCAGGCUUGAAUCCGGGAGAGGGAUGCGGAAUUCCAGGUGUAGCGGUGAAAUGCGUAGAUAUCAGGAGGAACACCGGUGGCGAAGGCGGGAUCCUGGGCCAGUACUGACGCUGAGGAGCGAAAGCGUGGGGAGCAAACAGG
This 253-nucleotide ribosomal RNA is filed under the name uncultured bacterium. Its description in RNAcentral is "partial 16S ribosomal RNA". It matches the Rfam family "Bacterial small subunit ribosomal RNA", at positions 524 to 776 of the family's 1533-position model. The record is from RNAcentral.